This 478-nucleotide ribosomal RNA is filed under the name uncultured bacterium. RNAcentral's name for it is "bacterial SSU rRNA". It matches the Rfam family "Bacterial small subunit ribosomal RNA", at positions 1017 to 1503 of the family's 1533-position model. The record is from RNAcentral.
CGUUUCUUUCGGGCAUAUUGCGAUGUCGCUGCAUGAUGUCGUCAGCUCGUGCCGUGGAGGUGUAGGUAAGUCUGCAACGAGCGCAACCUUACCUUCAGUGCCAGCACGUAAUGGUGGGGACUCUGGAGGAACUGCCUACGCAAGUAGAGAGGAAGGUGGGGAUGACGUCAAAUCAGCACGGCCGUUAUGUCCGGGGCUACACACGUGCUACAAUGGCGCACACAGAGGGCAGCGACCCCGCGAGGGGGAGCCAAUCCAUUAAAGUGCGUCUCAGUCCGGAUCGGAGUCUGGAACCCGACUCCGUGAAGUUGGAUUCGCUAGUAAUCGCGCAUCAGCCAUGACGCGGUGAAUACGUUCCCGGGCCUUGUACACACCGCCCGUCAAGCCAUGGAAGAUGGUGGUGCCUGAAGUCUGUACCCGCAAGGAGCGGCCUAAGGUAAAACUGUUAACUGGGGCUAAGUCGUAACAAGGUAACCUA